GAUGAACGCUGGCGGCGUGCCUAAUACAUGCAAGUCGAGCGAACAGACGAGGAGCUUGCUCCUUCGACGUUAGCGGCGGACGGGUGAGUAACACGUAGGUAACCUACCUAUAAGACUGGGAUAACUUCGGGAAACCGGAGCUAAUACCGGAUAAUAUUUCGAACCGCAUGGUUCGAUAGUGAAAGAUGGCUUUGCUAUCACUUAUAGAUGGACCUGCGCCGUAUUAGCUAGUUGGUAAGGUAACGGCUUACCAAGGCAACGAUACGUAGCCGACCUGAGAGGGUGAUCGGCCACACUGGAACUGAGACACGGUCCAGACUCCUACGGGAGGCAGCAGUAGGGAAUCUUCCGCAAAGGGCGAAAGCCUGACGGAGCAACGCCGCGUGAGUGAUGAAGGUCUUCGGAUCGUAAAACUCUGUUAUUAGGGAGGAACAAACGUGUAAGUAACUGUGCACGUCUUGACGGUACCUAAUCAGAAAGCCACGGCUAACUACGUG
Molecule: ribosomal RNA, 497 nt
Filed under: uncultured bacterium
Lineage: Bacteria
Description: partial 16S ribosomal RNA
Rfam family: Bacterial small subunit ribosomal RNA
Source: RNAcentral